UGGAUCCAGUACCGUGAUGAUACUCAGUACAGUCUGGCUGAAGAUUUUAAACUAAGUGCUCUUGGGAGGCAACCCAAUUUAUACAUUUCUUUCAAUUAUCUAAUUUAUUUUCAUAGAAAAAUCCAAGAAGGACACUCAUUGAAGUUGGGGGGAGCAUUCCAUCUAAGACCCAGAUGGAGUCACAAGCAAAUCACACCCACAAAGGAAGAACCUUUCACCCACCA
RNAcentral lists this long non-coding RNA (224 nucleotides) under Elaeis guineensis (African oil palm). Its description in RNAcentral is "long non-coding RNA (EGUI_LNC075065)". The record is from RNAcentral. Lineage: Eukaryota; Viridiplantae; Streptophyta; Magnoliopsida; Arecales; Arecaceae.